CUUGACCGACCCGAGCAGCAACGGCCGCUCCGGAUCGCGGUCCCGGCCGUAGGUCGCGAUCAACGCCUGGGCCUC
Molecule: non-coding RNA, 75 nt
Organism: Pseudonocardia sp. EC080619-01
Lineage: Bacteria; Bacillati; Actinomycetota; Actinomycetes; Pseudonocardiales; Pseudonocardiaceae
Rfam family: ASpks TB sRNA
Source: Rfam